Bos taurus (domestic cattle) is the source of this 1211-nucleotide long non-coding RNA. Lineage: Eukaryota; Metazoa; Chordata; Mammalia; Artiodactyla; Bovidae. The record is from Ensembl.
GGACCUUUGUUGGCAAAGUAAUGUCUCUGCUUUUGAAUAUGCUAUGUAGGUUGGUCAUAACUUUCUUUCCAAGGAGUAAGCGUCUUUUAAUUUCAUGGCUGCAAUUCUAAGUUUAAAAAAGACCUAAUGAGUUAAAAAAAGAAAAAAUUCCUUUAAAGAAAAAAAAAAAAAUGUGUCUCUAACUGGGUGACAUUUAAGCUGAGAGGUUCAGGGUGAGAAAGGAUUCAACCAAGAAAGGAUGGAAGGGAGAGUGCAGAGGCUUCAGGACAAGCAGGAGCUGGAAAGGGAGUAGGGGAGUUAAGGGGAGUGAGGUGGAAAGAGGCCGCAGAUGGAAAAUGCUCUGCACAAUGGCAAGGAAAUUUGGAGCUUAUUCCAUGCAAUGGGAAGACUGGAUGGAAUGAGAAUAGUGCAAAGACAAAUCUGAAUUAAAAUUUCAAACAUCAUUCUAGCUUAGUGUGAUGUAAGGCUGGUGAGGGUGCAGAGGUGAACCUGGGAGACCAGCUGGGCAGCUACUGUAAGAGUCAGGGCAGGAGAGGAUGGGCGUUGGGCUCGAGGAGCAGGUGGAAUGCACACCAGUGAAGAGAUGAAGGGGCUGUUUUUGAGACAGAGCCUUUGUGACUUGCUCAUGGAUGUGGAGGAAAGUGAGGAAAAGGGAGGAUUUAAAGAGGUUUCUAGGGACUUCCUUCAUGGUCUUGUGGUUAGGAUUUUGUCUUCCAAUGCAGGAGUGGGGCCGGGGGUUCCAUCCCUGCUUGGAGACCUAAGAUCCCACGUAUCUUGUGGCCAUAAAACCAAAACAUAAAAUGAAGCCAUAUUUUAACAAUAAAGAGUUUAUUAAUAGCCCAUAUAAAAAAUAUCUGUAAAAAGAGGUUUCUAGCUUAAGCCUCUGGGUGAAUGCCAGGGCCAGGAACUGAGCUGGGAUGAUUGGAGUAGAAGCAGGUUUUGAGAAAAAGAAAUGGCACAUGAAAUCAAGAGUUCCAGUUUGAUUGUAAAAAAAAAAAAAAAAAAAAAGGCGAGCACACAGCCAAAUCUAGAGGUCACUUAGACAGUUAAGUACCCAAAUGUGGAUGAGAGAUUAAAAAAUGGGAUUAUCUGCAUAUAUAUGGUGUUUAGGGUCAUUGGCAUGGAGCAGAAAAAAAAGAAGCCCUCAGGUCUGAAUGCCCCAACAUCGAUCACUUAUAAGUCAGCCAAGGAAAAGAUUUCAGAGAUUUGAC